This 27-nucleotide non-coding RNA is filed under the name Mus musculus (house mouse). Lineage: Eukaryota; Metazoa; Chordata; Mammalia; Rodentia; Muridae. The record is from RNAcentral.
UGGCAGAAGAAGCAUCAUGGGCCUUGG